Molecule: ribosomal RNA, 979 nt
Filed under: Microbacterium paraoxydans
Lineage: Bacteria; Bacillati; Actinomycetota; Actinomycetes; Micrococcales; Microbacteriaceae
Description: bacterial SSU rRNA
Rfam family: Bacterial small subunit ribosomal RNA
Source: RNAcentral
ACACGGAGCUUGCUCUGUGGGAUCAGUGGCGAACGGGUGAGUAACACGUGAGCAACCUGCCCCUGACUCUGGGAUAAGCGCUGGAAACGGCGUCUAAUACUGGAUAUGUGACGUGACCGCAUGGUCUGCGUUUGGAAAGAUUUUUCGGUUGGGGAUGGGCUCGCGGCCUAUCAGCUUGUUGGUGAGGUAAUGGCUCACCAAGGCGUCGACGGGUAGCCGGCCUGAGAGGGUGACCGGCCACACUGGGACUGAGACACGGCCCAGACUCCUACGGGAGGCAGCAGUGGGGAAUAUUGCACAAUGGGCGAAAGCCUGAUGCAGCAACGCCGCGUGAGGGAUGACGGCCUUCGGGUUGUAAACCUCUUUUAGCAGGGAAGAAGCGAAAGUGACGGUACCUGCAGAAAAAGCGCCGGCUAACUACGUGCCAGCAGCCGCGGUAAUACGUAGGGCGCAAGCGUUAUCCGGAAUUAUUGGGCGUAAAGAGCUCGUAGGCGGUUUGUCGCGUCUGCUGUGAAAUCCCGAGGCUCAACCUCGGGCCUGCAGUGGGUACGGGCAGACUAGAGUGCGGUAGGGGAGAUUGGAAUUCCUGGUGUAGCGGUGGAAUGCGCAGAUAUCAGGAGGAACACCGAUGGCGAAGGCAGAUCUCUGGGCCGUAACUGACGCUGAGGAGCGAAAGGGUGGGGAGCAAACAGGCUUAGAUACCCUGGUAGUCCACCCCGUAAACGUUGGGAACUAGUUGUGGGGUCCAUUCCACGGAUUCCGUGACGCAGCUAACGCAUUAAGUUCCCCGCCUGGGGAGUACGGCCGCAAGGCUAAAACUCAAAGGAAUUGACGGGGACCCGCACAAGCGGCGGAGCAUGCGGAUUAAUUCGAUGCAACGCGAAGAACCUUACCAAGGCUUGACAUAUACGAGAACGGGCCAGAAAUGGUCAACUCUUUGGACACUCGUAAACAGGUGGUGCAUGGUUGUCGUCAGCUC